Molecule: long non-coding RNA, 8748 nt
Filed under: Rattus norvegicus (Norway rat)
Lineage: Eukaryota; Metazoa; Chordata; Mammalia; Rodentia; Muridae
Description: HAfT23 cufflinks 00078399
Source: RNAcentral
AGCCUGGGAUCAAAUGCCCAGGGAAUGCGGCUACCACCAUGGUCUGGGCCUUCCUAUAGAAAUUAGCAGUCCAGGUAACUCUCCUUCCCCCGUCGAUACAACACAGGCCAGUCUGAUCUAGACAAUUUCUAAAUCAAGGCUCUGCACUCAAAUGACUCUAGGCUGAGUCGACUGGAGUUAAAGUUACCCAGGAUACCAUGUCUCAAAAAAAAAAAAUAAGGCGGAGAGCAGCUUAGGGAGAAACCUCAUACCUGUUUCUGGCCUCUAAAGCCCAUUCAUACCUGUAUGCAUGCAUUCAAACAUAUGUGUGCUCAGAUAUACACACACAAAAUAGGGACAGUCGCUUGUAUUCUAAUGGCGUUCUACUAUUAGUUCCAUCCACAGGCGACAAAAACAUUUCUAAGAGCACACUCCCUUUACAUUCAUCUUAUAGUUUAAAUUUUAAUUUAUCAUCAUGGUCACUAUCAUCAUCAUCAUGAUAUUACUAUUAUCAUUAUGCACAGGAUGGGAGGGAGUACACAUACACAUAUGAAGGGCACAAGACAGCUUUCUGAAGUCGUUUUAUUUUUUUUUUUCUUCUUCCACUUUAUGUCGGUCUUGCGAAGGCUUGGGCCGCAAUUGCUUUGACCACUGAAGCCCUAUUGUCAGCCCAAUAGCUUAGUAAUCUUUCUGAGCAUUCAUUGAGGACAUGGUUGAAAAGCAAUCCCCAUCUUUCCCCCUGAAAGUGCAUAGAGCAUUAGAAGUCCUCAAUGAGAGCGGGUACACCUUUCUACAUGUCCUGUCCGUGCCUGGGAUUGACUUCGGCUGGUCGCCGUAUGAGAUUAAAGCUAUUCAAGUCACCUGGUGGGCCGCGGCGCGAGUUCCUCACUAUCCGCGCCAAUGUCGUGGAUUCCAUCUUUGCUACCCUAGACCACUCUUCUGCAGCUCUCAAGCCUGCAUCUUUCCUGGCCUGGCGAUUCUAACGCCUCUCUGUUCCCUUGUCUGGGAAUCCUAAAGUCCCGCCUCUGUCUCCCUGCCCAGCCAUUGGCUGCUGGCAACUUUAUUUACCAAUCAGAACCUACUGGGGACAGGGACCCUCAGGGUCUUACAUGGGGGAUUCUCUUACAAUUUUGGGAGCCCAAUUAAUAUUAUGCAAGUUUUAGGCCCAAUCCACAACACCUAGGGUUGACUUUUGCUGGUUGGUUAUGAACUUCUGAAGGCAAUGGAUCUCCUAAGGCAUGCAGUCUCUACCAGAGAGCUGAGAGUCAUUCUAUCACUACACAAGCCCUUUCUCAACAGAAAGGCUCCGUUCCCUUAAAGUGAAAAGGAAGAGAAUGGUUUUAAAUUACUGUGACUCCUAUUUCGGUCAGUGGUCUGCUAUUCAAGAACCAAUUAUCCAGCUUAAGGACCCUCUGCUCCUGAGCUCCCCCCUUGUCUGCCAAGGAUUUACACUCUUGGCUGUCACCUUCCACAGGGGGUAUUAGAGGAAAGGAAAAGGGUAAUAUUUGAAAUAAAAUUUCAAUAAAUGAUCCUCCAAGCAUCUGUUUCGUGACAGAGAGAGUAACUAGGAGCCAUAACAAGUAACAGAGACCUGCCUGUGGGUUGCUGGACAAAUGCUCACACACACACACACACACACACACACACACACACACACACACACACGGGUGUGAAUAAAGUGAGAAAGCAGUUGGACAGUUAGUGUGGAGGGGAGGGAAGGAGGUGAGAAAAAAGAGAGCGAUGCGUGACUCUCAGCACCGGCACUUGAAGCCCAGGAAGAAAAAGAGAGGGAGAUAAAAUGAGGCAAGACACACAGGGGACAGCAGGCCUGUGGGCAGCAGCGGGUGGGAGUUUGUGAGCUCUGAGGCUAGAGACUGAAUAGUAACCGAUGGGGAGAGGGGGUACAGGGGCCCCGAGGGCUCUGUGGAUGGAGACCUGACUUCUGGGCUCACCUGAGUCUGCUCCAACAUUUGGUCAAUACGUCCUCAGUGUUGUUACUAUACCAACCUCUUCACCAUGAGAGUAUCUGGUUCUGGGAUCAGCGAGAUGCUCAGCAGGUAAAAGUCCUUGCAGUCCAUCGAGACAGCUCACGGUACAAGAGAAAUCAACUUCCGAAAUUUGUCUCUGAUCUACACACACACACACACACACACACACACACACACACACACACUCGGGGUGGGGAGGAAGAGAGGGAGAUAAACAAGUAAAAUAACUUUCUCUGGACCGUAGAUUCCAUCGCCAUGAGCAUCAGUCGGGCUGAAGUGUCUGUCUCUGCUCUCCCCUGCCUUGUCUGUGGAAGGCCACCACCAAAUGACCAUGUUCCUUGCUAAGUUUGGCUCUCCAUGACAACUACGGAAAGCAUCAUCCCAGACAGCAACACCGAUGGAGUCAGAAGCACGUGUGUCUGCACGCAACCACCAGAGAGGUGGUGAUAUGGAGAGCACGUGGUCCAAAACAGUACUGCAUUUUUAUCUCCUGGGCCAACACUUACUAUCAUAAUACCCAACUCAGAGCUCUGUGUUUCUGCCGUUGUUUUAGAAAUGGUGAAGUCUCAAACACAGGUCUCACUGUUCCACCAGGCCAAGGGGUGGCCGGGGCUCAGCAGGAGAUGGCAGUGCUUUGAUUCAGUGAUUCCCACAGUGCUCUGCUGUACCGCUGGUUCUGUGCAUCCACUGGACACAAGCUGGAGUUAUCACAGAGAGAGGAGCCUCCCUUGAGGAAAUGCCUCCAUGAGACCCAGCUGUAAGGCAUUUUCUCAAUUAGUGAUCAAGGGGGAGGGCCCAGCCCAUUGUAAAUGGUGCCAUCCCUUGGCUGGUGGUCCUGGGUUCUAUAAGAGAGCAAGCUGAGCAAGCCAGGGGAAGCAAGCCAGUAAGUAACAUCCCUCCAUGGCCUCUGCAUCAGCUCCUGCUUCCUGACCUGCUUGAGUUCCAGUCCUGACUUCCUUUGGUGAUGAACAGCAAUGUGGAAGUGUGAGCUGAAUAAACCCUUUCCUCCCCAGCUUGCUUGUUGGCCGUGAUGUUUGUGCAGGCAUCCUGACUGAGCCUCCACAGUAGUCACCUAGGACCUUUGCUUGCAAACCAUCCACACCCUGGUGUACCUGUGUCCGACAGAAGAACCGUGUCACUCCGAAGCCAUGAUGGUCUGGCUAUCCUCAUUCACUUCAGGGUCUGCCGGAAGUCAGCUGAUGUGCUGUGGAGAAAGACCUACCUGAGAGACCGAAGCGUCCAGCCAACAGUCAUUCGAGUGAACUUUAUGACAGGAAGAUUCUAGCCUCAGCCGCGUACUGGGAUGGCAAAAGCCUCACUAGUAUCCAGAAUGACCCUUCACAAAAGCUAUGAGCCAGAAUCAUGCAGCCAAGCCAAUCAUGCAACCCUUACCCUUAGAGGCAUUGGAGAAAAUAAACAUAGUUGUUUUUAGGCACUAAAUUUAGAGGAGGGGCUGUUUGUUCCACAGCAAUAGCUAGCCAUGGACCAACACAAUUAGUUUUAUUUAUUUAUUUUUUUUAUUUUUUGACAUUACCACAUAGUUACAUCAUUUCCCCCUUUCAUUUCCUCCCGCUUUCAAAUCCAUGGCUUUUUUCUUUAAUCAUUUGUGUGUGUGUGUGUGUGUGUGUGUGUGUGUGUGUGUGUGUGCGCGCGCGCGCGCAAAUAUAUGAUACUUCCUGCUCAGUGUGCAUAAUGUUACUCAUGUAUAGCUUUCAGGACUGACCACACUAGGUAUUGGAUAACCAGUUGGUGUGCUCAACCCCUGUUUCUCCUGUUCCACAUUCUUCGUCUAGGCUCCAGGCCUCCAGAGCCAACACCCAUGUCAGUGUUAUCUUCGUUCACACCGUGUUUAGGCAGUCGAGCUGAUGAGGUGGUAUAGGUGUGGCUUUUUUAUUCCCCCCCCCCCCGGGGGCUGGGGACCGAACCCAGGACCUUGGGCUUCCUAGGUAAGCGCUCUACCACUGAGCCAAAUCCCCAACCCCUAGGUGUGGCUUCUGACAUUUCUAGGAGACACAUCCCCCAACAAGCCCCCUGGUCCUCCAGUUCUUCCCCUCUUCUGCAGGGAUCCCUGAGCCUUGGGUGGGGGAGUUAGGUUGUAGAUGAAUCAUUGUGACCAGGUUCCAUAGCUAGAUAUCACAGAAAACCACAAGCGAUUUUCUUUCUUCUCAAAUAUUGUUUAUGAGUGUUUUGCCAGCAUGGGUGCAUAUGCACCACCCGCAUGCCUAUAGGGGUCAGAAGAAGGAGAACAUCAGAUCCACUGGAACUGAAGUUAUAGGCAGUUAUUAACCACCAUGUGGGCGCUGAGAACUGAAUCUGGGUGUUCUGCAAGAACACCAAGGGCUCUUAACUAUUGAGCCAUCUCUCCAGCUCCAUAACAGAUUUUCUUAUAAAUAAUAUUCCUUAUCUGGCUAUCUAGACAACAAUUGUGCCUAUACCACUGCCAGAAAGGAAGAAACUGUAGAGAGAAUAUCUUGUGUAUUGUAUGGAUGCCAUACAAUUUAAAAACCUAUGGCCUAUAGGAAAGGGUAGAAUAGAAGGCGGGACAUCCGGGAGGCAGAAAGAACUCUGGGAUAGAGCCAGGCACAGGAGAUUCACCCAGGGAGACGUGAUGAGGAAAUGCACGGCACCUGAACUCUGGUAACCAGCCACGUGGCAGAACGUAGAUUAGAAUAUAUGGGUUGUUUUAAAUUAUGAUCUACUCAAAGAAAAGCAUAGCUACUUGGUAUUUACAAUUACAUGGUAUUUGUAAAUAUAUUUUGAAUCUGAGUCUUAUUUCUGGGAGCAUGAGGCUGAGAGGUAGAACCAGGCUUAACUUCUACAAGAAAUAUUGUAAAACAUUUUUUUAAAAAUUAAUUUUAAUUGUUUAUAUUUAUAUGUGUGUAUGUGCAUAUAUAUAUAUUUCUAUCAUAUGUACCUCAUAUCAUCCUCUCUUAACCCCUUCCUACUCCCACAGAUUUCCCUCCCACAGGUCAACUUCCUACUUUCGUGUCCUGUGUAUACGUGGGGAGGGGAAUAUUGAAGGUUUUAAGAAAGAAAGUGAGACGUGAGCUCAGGUCUGGUAACAUAUCAAACUGACAUUUGUGAGAAGCGGGGAUGGGUUACUUUUAAUUGAAAAUCUAAAACAAUUUAGAGCAAUGGUUUUCAACCUAUGGGGUCUGACCCCUUUAGAGGUCAAAAGACCCUUUCAUGGGGGUGCUUAAGACCAUUGGAAAACACAGAUAUUUACAUUGUGAUUCAUAACAGUAGCAAACAUAUUAGGAAGCAGCAAUAAAAACAACUUCAUGGUUGGGGGUCACCUCAACAUGAGGAACUGUGUUAAAGGGUCACAGCUUUAGAAAGGUUGAGAACCACAGAUCUAGAGUCCCAAUAAGGGAUUGUCUAGUUCCAGUUGGCCUAUGGGUAUGUCUAUUGGGGGCACUGAUUUGAUAACAUUAAUAGAUGUGGGAAAACCUGGCCCCCUAGGGGCAGCACCAAUCCCUGGGCUUGAGUUAGUACCCAAAUGAGCUAAGCAAUAAAAACCCAUACAUUCAUUCUGUCUGCUCUUUGCUGUGGGUGUGCUAUAACUGGCUGCUUCUAGAACCUUGACUUUCCUGCUAUAAUUGACAGCAUCCUGGAAUUGUGUGCUAAAAUAAACCCUUCCUCCCUAAGUUAUUUUUAUUGGUGUAUUUUAUCAGAGUAACCAGAAACAAGACUUGAACACAGGAGAAGAGAGUUGACCAGACUGCAACCUGGCAUGUCCAAGAGAGAAGGCUGUUGCCUCUGGGUCAGACUAUGGAAGGUCAAGUUCCCAGAGCACCCCAAAUCUAGCAUGUCCAAGAGAGAAGGCUGUUGCCUCUGGGUCAGACUAUGGAAGGUCAAGUUCCCAGAGCUCCAUGUAUUAGUCUAGAUUAUAAACAUCUUAUUAGCUAGUACAGAUCCCUUCAUGAAAAAUAUUUUUGGUGAUAUUUUUAACUGAACAUCUCAACUACCACCUAGCAGUAUCUUAAAUACCUUCUCUUUCUCCCAUGACUGAAACAUAUGGCUACUGGUGGCAUGUCAGUCGCUGAAAGAUACCCUGGGGUCCCAGGUUCCUUCUGCCUUUCAACUUUAUUUAUUUAUUUAUUUAUUUUUUGAUUCUUUUUUUCGGAGCUGGGGACCGAACCCAGGGCCUUGCGCUUCCUAGGUAAGCGCUCUACCACUGAGCUAAAUCCCCAGCCCUUAUUUAUUUUUUUUAUGUUGGCUCCUUGCCUCCUGUUUCCAAGAUAGUUGCUACAACUCCAGCCCUCACAUUUGUGUCUAGAGGAACAGAAGGAAAUAGAGACAAAUGAGAGGGGGUGUUUUGUUUAAGUUUUUAAUUUAAAGUUUUAUAUGUAUGUGUGUCUGUGCAUAUAGAUUCCCCUGGAACUGGAGUACAGACAAUUGUGAGCUGGGAAUCAAACUCAGGGCCAUUGCAAGAGCAAUACACAAUACUCAGCUUCUGAACCACCUCUCCACUCCCUAGUUGGGUGUUUUAAACUAUGUUUAUCUCAUUUUAUCGAGAAAAAUAAAAAGUGUCUGUCUGUGAUCGAAGCCACGUGAGCAGUAAUGGAGGCUGGCAAAGCAUUACCAUCUCAACAGCACGUGAAAGUUGAGUUCUGCUAAGCAAAGCUGGAGAAACACUAAGUGCACACUUGCUUUGAGACAGUGACUGAAACAUUGUUUCAGCUGCCGGAGCCUGGCGUGGAGGAGUGUCUGUAGCUGUUGAAGUUCCCAUAAUCCAGGCCCAGACACUUCCUCAUGAACGCGGCAGAGGAAUGAAGGACCAGUUAAGCUAAGGGGCCGGAAAGAAAGAUGCAACUUCUGCUUUAACCCAAAGCUAGAAUCUGGCAUGGCUUUUUAAAUUAUGUUUAUUCCUCCUCUUUCUCACUGUUUCUCCUGUUUCCCUCGUUAUCCAUUUUUAAAAUUGGUUUUCAAUUGCGCGCUUUAUCAUUUUAAAAUUCUCACUGUGAGAAUAUAAACUUGCUUUUAAAUCCACUCGCUUAGAACUCGACCUGCAGCGAUUCCCCUCCCAGUGAGCAGUCUGGGCAGGGCCCAGUCACCAGAGCUGACCACUGACCCUGCUCUUCCCAACAUGCCUGCAUUAGAUACAGUUCAGCAGUGUGAAGAAGAAAUCUGCCUACAGUUACAAUAAAAUUAAUCAAUGGAUAGUCACAUGCACUAGAAGUUUCCAUAACUAAGGGGCAACACAGAAACCCAAGCUUUGUUACUCUUUGCUGAACAGUGUGUGGAUUAGAUAACUAGUAAGGCUGUCCCAUAUGUCCCUAACCAAAGGCAGCAAUUGUGAGCCCAGGAUGAAAAGGCACUGACACCUGUGGAAUUGCAUGGUGUUAAGACAGAAGAGAGAAAUUGUGGUAGACAGAGGUUUCAAAAGAAUGAAAAGAAAGGUUCUAGGUGCCUGCUUAAAAGAAUGGAAAAUGGUGCCUAGGAGAGAUAUUUGCACUACCAUGUUCAUGGUAGCAGUGAGACAGACUCUAUGACAGACUACAAACUGACAGUUCAGGAGAUGAAGCCUCGCCAAGAGAACUGGGCAAGUCCAGGCAAGCCCAGGCAAGUCAGUUACUGAAAAACAAAACAAAACAGGCUUCAGGCAGCCCAUCAGAAACUGCUCUACCAUCAGAAGUUGCCCCACCACCUGGCUUGAGGCAAAGACAACCCAGUUAGCAGCAGUUUGCAGACCUUCUCAGCAAUAGUUUCCAGAUUUCCCCAUAAACAGUUUCCAGCCCCCACACGCCUAGAGAUGGGUCCAACAGAUCGAGAUAGAGGUCACCUACCCUGGGAUUCCCCUAAUGUGUUUUAAAUUGGGUCUGCAAGCUCGCUUCGAGGUCUCUCCUUCUUUGUAGAUGGUAGACUCUAGCAUGCUGGACCUCUGCAGAAGACACUCUUUGCCCUUACAUAUUAUGUGAGCCGGGGCAUCAUCCUUCGGACCUAUGCUAACUCCGGGUCGGAUGCUAUAUUCUGACCUGGAACGAUUGGUUUUGCUGCUGCUGCUGCCACUGCCACCGCCACCGCCACCGCCACUGACUCCUGGGGACUCAGGAGGGUGCUGACUCCGGAGGUAACCUGGUAGGCCUCGCCUGUUCACUUUGAGAUGCAGAACAAAGCCCUUUACAGAAAAAGAUUUGGAUUUUCUGUGCUAAGCCAUGGAAGUAGUUUUCUAGACAAAAGGUGACUUCAGAACCUUCCAUAUCGACAUUUACAGCCACGGGACUGGACUGGCCAACAGUGUGAGCAUUUGUGAGCAUGCUUGAACGCUUCUUCGCAACAGGAGUGCAGCCUCGUUUAUUAUGGGUCAGAGGAAGGGAACAAUAGGGCGCUAAGAGGAUGUCUCGUCUGCCCCGCUGCCUGGGGUAAGCCCAAAAUAACCCGCUGAAUUGGAACUCUGGCCUCUUUUCUCUGGCCCCUAGGGAAGCCUUUCACAACCAUCCUCUAUUAUCCGACCCAUUUUUAACAAAGUUUAGUAUCAUAUCAGAAAGCAUCCCAUGUGUCAAAACUCUAUCCCCACUGCUGCUGACUAACCGUUUAUUCUCAUGUGCAUACCGAGCAAACGUGGAGGAGAGUCCCUACCACCGCCACUGCCACUGCCGCCGCCGCCACCGCCGCCACCACCACAGUUCACCUGAACAUUUAAUCUGAACUCCAGCCAGUGCCUGGGUCAGUCGAUGGAACCUGAUGUCUGCCCUACCUCCACCAGCCUCUCCUGCCUGUUAACACAAAUAAAGGUUUAUUAUCUCCCUCCUCACCUUGUGAGAGGACCAGAUUAAUG